UACGGAGGGAGCUAGCGUUGUUCGGAAUUACUGGGCGUAAAGCGCACGUAGGCGGCUACUCAAGUCAGAGGUGAAAGCCCAGGGCUCAACCCUGGAACUGCCUUUGAAACUAGGUAGCUAGAAUCUUGGAGAGGUCAGUGGAAUUCCGAGUGUAGAGGUGAAAUUCGUAGAUAUUCGGAAGAACACCAGUGGCGAAGGCGACUGACUGGACAAGUAUUGACGCUGAGGUGCGAAAGCGUGGGGAGAAAACAGG
RNAcentral lists this ribosomal RNA (253 nucleotides) under uncultured bacterium. RNAcentral describes it as "partial 16S ribosomal RNA". It matches the Rfam family "Bacterial small subunit ribosomal RNA", at positions 524 to 776 of the family's 1533-position model. The record is from RNAcentral.